This 84-nucleotide microRNA precursor is filed under the name Bombyx mori (domestic silkworm). RNAcentral's name for it is "mir-2807 microRNA precursor family". It matches the Rfam family "mir-2807 microRNA precursor family". Lineage: Eukaryota; Metazoa; Arthropoda; Insecta; Lepidoptera; Bombycidae. The record is from Rfam by way of RNAcentral.
UUCGCUCAAUUUUGUAUGCAGUUGGAACAGCGCCCCUAGCGGCAAACGUAGGCAAACGUUUCAACGCCAUACAAAUUUAAGUUA